AUGAGUCUUAAUUGCCUUACCUGUGGCCAUAUUCUUAAAAGAGAUAACUCCGAUAGAGAGCAUAAUUACCCAGAAAUCGAUAAAUCUUAUACUAAAAAAGCAAGACUAUACGUUGAUAGAAGUUGGUCAGGGAAUAUAGCUCCACCACCGCAACGCGAAGGUGGCAGCGGUGUUGUGGCGGAUAAUAUUAAACCGGAAUUCCGUCGUGCCAAUAGUGCUGGAAAUGCUGGGCCAAGAUUGUUAAGGAGCAGUGGAAUGAGAAGAGAUUGGCGUUUGGAAGAGUUGAUUGGACAACAAGAAAAUGGAGUUAGAUGUUAA
Non-coding RNA from Vicia faba (fava bean), 318 nucleotides. NCBI's taxonomy places the organism in Eukaryota, Viridiplantae, Streptophyta, Magnoliopsida, Fabales, Fabaceae. The record is from the annotation of a GenBank genome assembly.